ACGGGUGAGUAAUGCAUAGGAAUCUACCCUGAAGUGGGGAACAACCCGGGGAAACUCGGGCUAAUACCGCAUAACUUCUACGGAACAAAGUUGGGGACCUUCGGGCCUGGCGCUUUGGGAUGAGCCUAUGUCGGAUUAGCUAGUUGGUAGGGUAAAGGCCUACCAAGGCUACGAUCCGUAGCUGGUCUGAGAGGACGACCAGCCACACUGGGACUGAGACACGGCCCAGACUCCUACGGGAGGCAGCAGUGGGGAAUUUUGGACAAUGGGGGAAACCCUGAUCCAGCAAUGCCGCGUGUGUGAAGAAGGCCUUCGGGUUGUAAAGCACUUUUGGUGGGAAAGAAAACUGUAGGAUUAAUACCCUUGCAGAUUGACGUUACCCAAAGAAAAAGCACCGGCUAACUCUGUGCCAGCAGCCGCGGUAAUACAGAGGGUGCAAGCGUUAAUCGGAAUUACUGGGCGUAAAGCGCGUGUAGGUGGAUAUUUAAGUCGGAUGUGAAAUCCCCGGGCUCAACCUGGGAACUGCAUCCGAUACUGAAUAUCUAGAGUAUAGUAGAGGGAAGCGGAAUUUCCGGUGUAGCGG
This 583-nucleotide ribosomal RNA is filed under the name uncultured bacterium. RNAcentral's name for it is "partial 16S rRNA". It matches the Rfam family "Bacterial small subunit ribosomal RNA", at positions 102 to 681 of the family's 1533-position model. The record is from RNAcentral.